This 481-nucleotide ribosomal RNA is filed under the name Pholidobolus macbrydei. Its description in RNAcentral is "partial 16S ribosomal RNA". It matches the Rfam family "Bacterial large subunit ribosomal RNA", at positions 1823 to 2577 of the family's 2925-position model. Lineage: Eukaryota; Metazoa; Chordata; Lepidosauria; Squamata; Gymnophthalmidae. The record is from RNAcentral.
UUGCCUUUAGCACAAAGUAUUAAAGGUAACGCCUGCCCAGUGAUAAAUUAAACGGCCGCGGGAUCCUCACCGUGCAAAGGUAGCAUAAUCACUUGUCCCCUAAAUAGUGACUAGUAUGAACGGCCAAAUGAAGAUUUUACUGUCUCUUAUAGCCAAUCUAUGAAACUAAUCUAUCAGUACAAAAGCUGAUAUAUUAACAUAAGACGAAAAGACCCUGUGGAACUUUAAGCACAACCCACAAUAAUGGACCACCUGCUUUUAGUUGGGGCAACUUUGGAAAAAAACAAAACUUCCAAUAAAAUUAAAGAUUAACACAUCUAUAUUAUAUUAUACCCGACCCAACACAUGUUGAUCAAAGAACCAAGCUACCCCAGGGAUAACAGCGCCAUCCCCUCUUAGAGCCCAAAUCGACGAGCGGGGUUUACGACCUCGAUGUUGGAUCAGGGCCCCCAAACAGUGCAACAGCUGUUAACGGUUUGUU